Molecule: ribosomal RNA, 265 nt
Filed under: uncultured prokaryote
Description: partial 16S ribosomal RNA
Rfam family: Bacterial small subunit ribosomal RNA
Source: RNAcentral
UACGUAGGGUGCGAGCGUUAAUCGGAAUUACUGGGCGUAAAGCGUGCGCAGGCGGUUUGCUAAGACAGGUGUGAAAUCCCCGGGCUUAACCUGGGAACUGCGCUUGUGACUGGCAGGCUAGAGUACGGCAGAGGGGGUGGAAUUCCUGGUGUAGCAGUGAAAUGCGUAGAUAUCAGGAGGAACACCGAUGGCGAAGGCAGCCCCCUGGGCCUGUACUGACGCUCAUGCACGAAAGCGUGGGGAGCAAACAGGAUUAGAUACCCCU